GCUUCUCACUUAGCUCAGUUGGUAGAAUGUGAGACUCUUAAUCUCAGGGUCGAGGGUUCGAGCCCCACGUUGGCCA
Molecule: non-coding RNA, 76 nt
Organism: Podarcis lilfordi (Lilford's wall lizard)
Lineage: Eukaryota; Metazoa; Chordata; Lepidosauria; Squamata; Lacertidae
Source: the annotation of a GenBank genome assembly